Long non-coding RNA from Glycine soja, 411 nucleotides. RefSeq lists it as uncharacterized. Lineage: Eukaryota; Viridiplantae; Streptophyta; Magnoliopsida; Fabales; Fabaceae. The transcript is spliced from 2 exons. The record is from RefSeq and is a predicted model, not a curated record.
UAGUGCUUGAUGCGGUUCACUUGACUUUUGGAUGUGGUCUUCUUACAUUUUUGUUAUUUGUUAUGGCCGCGUCUAGGAAGAAAGCCGAUCAAGAGUAUACUUAUGGUAUGUAGGACUGUAGGAGAGGGGUGCUUGGAUAGUUCUUCUGGAAAUAACCCUGUAAUUGCUUUUUCCUUUUCUAUUAUAGUUAUAAUUGUAAUAAUUAGUUUUGGAGAAUUUUUCUGUACAGUUAUGUCAUGUAUCAAAUUGUAGAAUUCAUAAGGUAUGAGUGAAUAUGUAUGACAAAGUGGUGCACUGACUACAUUCUGUAGAAAGCAUGAUUGUUUUUCCUGCGUGCUAAAGGGAACUUGUUAGUUCUUUACCACUUGGUAUUGCUAGAUUUUAUAAGCUGAAGAACCUACAUUUGGCUCA